Molecule: ribosomal RNA, 494 nt
Filed under: uncultured bacterium
Lineage: Bacteria
Description: partial 16S ribosomal RNA
Rfam family: Bacterial small subunit ribosomal RNA
Source: RNAcentral
GACGAACGCUGGCGGCGUGCUUAACACAUGCAAGUCGAACGGAAAGGCCUGCUUUCCCUUGUGGAUUGCGGGUACUCGAGUGGCGAACGGAUGAGUAACACGUGAGUUAUCUGCCCCCAACUUGGGUAUAAGCCUGGGAAACUGGGUCUAAUUCCCGAUAGGACUGCAGGGUGGUGCCUGUGGUGGCAGACGAUGUUCUAGUGGUUGGGGAUGAGCUGGCGGCCUAUCAGGUUGUUGGUGGGGUAAUGGCCUACCAAGGCGGGGACUGGUAGCCGGCGGGGGAGGGGAGACGGGCGAAGUGGGACUGGGACACGGCCCAGACUCCUACGGGAAGCAGCAGUGGGGAAGAAUACGCAAUGGGCGGAAGCCUGAUGCAGCGAGGCCGCGGGGGGGAUGACGGGCUCCGGGUUGUAAACUACUUUCGACCGAGAGGAAUCCACCUGGUUGGAAGGGUGGUGACGGUAGUGGUAGAAGAAGCACCGGCUAACUACGUG